This 89-nucleotide transfer RNA is filed under the name Gemmatimonadota bacterium. RNAcentral's name for it is "Gemmatimonadetes bacterium tRNA-Ser". It matches the Rfam family "tRNA". Rfam says of the family: Transfer RNA (tRNA) molecules are approximately 80 nucleotides in length. Their secondary structure includes four short double-helical elements and three loops (D, anti-codon, and T loops). The record is from RNAcentral. Lineage: Bacteria; Pseudomonadati; Gemmatimonadota.
GGAGAGGUGGCCGAGUGGUUGAAGGCGCACGCCUGGAGAGCGUGUUAGGCUAAUCACCUACGUGGGUUCGAAUCCCACCCUCUCCGCCA